GAUCAUGGCUCAGGAUGAACGCUAGCUACAGGCUUAACACAUGCAAGUCGAGGGGCAGCGCAGUGUAGCAAUACAUGGGCGGCGACCGGCGCACGGGUGCGUAACGCGUAUCCAACCUUCCCGUUACUCAGGGAUAGCCUUCCGAAAGGGAGAUUAAUACCUGAUGGUGUUCAAAUUCCGCAUGUUAUUUGAACUAAAGAUUUAUCGGUAACGGAUGGGGAUGCGUGACAUUAGGUAGAUGGCGGGGUAACGGCCCACCAUGCCUACGAUGUCUAGGGGUUCUGAGAGGAAGGUCCCCCACACUGGAACUGAGACACGGUCCAGACUCCUACGGGAGGCAGCAGUGAGGAAUAUUGGUCAAUGGCCGAGAGGCUGAACCAGCCAUGCCGCGUGAAGGUCACGGCCCUAUGGGUCUUAAACUUCUUUUGUAAGGGAGCAAUAAGUUUCACGUGUGGGACGAUGAGAGUACCUUACGAAUAAGCAUCGGCUAACUCCGUG
RNAcentral lists this ribosomal RNA (498 nucleotides) under uncultured bacterium. RNAcentral describes it as "bacterial SSU rRNA". It matches the Rfam family "Bacterial small subunit ribosomal RNA", at positions 15 to 507 of the family's 1533-position model. The record is from RNAcentral.